This 2491-nucleotide long non-coding RNA is filed under the name Oncorhynchus kisutch (coho salmon). RNAcentral's name for it is "lncRNA (ENSOKIG00005043947.1)". The record is from RNAcentral. Lineage: Eukaryota; Metazoa; Chordata; Actinopteri; Salmoniformes; Salmonidae.
AUGAAAUGUCUUGUAACACCUCUACAGUUACGGACCAGUAUAUGCUGCGGACCCCUACAACCACCCACUUGCUCCAGCAGCCACAUACAGCAUUGGUGCCAUGGUAAAAUAUACACUUACACACCUCUCUCUGUCUCCUCUUCCUUCCUCCUCUCGCUCUGUCUCCCCUUCCUUCCUCGUCUCUCUCUCCUUCCUUCCUCCUCUCUCUCUUCCUCCUCUCGCUCUCUGUCUCCUCUUCCUCCUCUCUGUCUCUCCUUCCUCCUCUCUCUCUGUCUCCUCUUCCUUCCUCUCUCUCUCUCUCUCCUUCCUUCCUCUCUCUCUGUCUCCUCUUCCUCCUCUCUCUCUGUCUCUCCUUCCUUCCUCCUCUCUCUCUCUCCUUCCUUCCUCCUCUCUCUCUGUCUCCCCUUCCUUCCUCCUCUCUCUCUCUCCUUCCUUCCUCCUCUCUCUCUUUCCUUCCUUCCUCCUCUCUCUCUGUCUCCCCUUCCUUCCUCCUCUCUCUCUCCUUCCUUCCUCUCUCUCUCUCUCCUUCCUUCCUCCUCUCUCUCUGUCUCCCCUUCCUUCCUCCUCUCUCUCUCUCCUUCCUUCCUUCCUCUCUCUCUGUCGCCUCUUCCUCCUCUCUCUCUGUCUCUCCUUCCUUCCUCCUCUCUCUCUCUCCUUCCUUCUCCUCUCUCUCUUUCCUUCCUUCCUCCUCUCUCUCUGUCUCCCCUUCCUUCCUCCUCUCUCUCUCUCCUUCCUUCCUCCUCUCUCUCUCUCCUUCCUUCCUCCUCUCUCUCUGUCUCCCCUUCCUUCCUCCUCUCUCUCUCUCCUUCCUUCCUCCUCUCUCUCUCUCCUUCCUUCCUCCUCUCUCUCUCUCUCCUUCCUUCCUCCUCUCUCUCUGUCUCUCCUUCCUCCUCUCUCUCUCUCCUUCCUUCCUCCUCUCUCUCUCUCCUUCCUUCCUUCCUCCUCUCUCUCUGUCUCUCCUUCCUCCUCUCCUCUCUUGCAAUCAGGUGUUUUUUCAUUCUCUCUUGCUUUUCUGUUUCCUUGUCUUCCUCCGUUCAUCCACCUCUCCCUCAAUCUAUCCCUCUUCACCUCUCCCUCCCUCUCCCUGAGGGACAGACAGACGGGCGGGUGGGUGGGUGGGCGGGCAGGCAGGCAGGCAGGCGGACAGACAGACAGACAGACAGACAGACGGGCGGGCAUGCGGACAGACAGACAGACAGACACAUCUACUCCGCUAACACAAGCAUGGUGCAAUGUGAUGUGAUUCCGUCAUACACAACAAAAAGAGCACGGUGUUGAUGUUGUUGUUGUUACUGAUGUUGUUAUGUGAUGUCGCCAUAUAUUAACCCAUUGUUUCUCACCCCUCUGAGUAGCCCCUGGCAUGAUGACCUGGCAUGAUGGCCUGGCAUGUCUGCUGGCAUGACUGGGUGCACGCUGCAUGUGGGGGGGCCAUGUCAUCCCACUGGGUUUGUAACGGUAACCUAACAAACCGUAAAUGACAUAGAGUUGGUCAGGAAGUAGUGUGUGGAGGGUAUUCUACACACUUCACAAGUAGACUUAGACAAGUGCUUUACAUAUACAGUACUUAUCUUUACAUAUACAGUACAUAUCUUUACAUAUACAGUACUUAUACAGUACAUAUACAGUACAUAUACAGUACGUAUCUUUACAUAUACAGUACAUAUACAGUACGUAUCUUUACAUAUACAGUACAUAUACAGUACGUAUCUUUACAUAUACAGUACAUAUACAGCACAUAUCUUUACAUAUACAGUACAUAUACAGUACUUAUACAGUACAUAUCUUUACAUAUACAGUACAUAUACAGUACAUAUACAGUACAUAUACAGUACAUAUCUUUACAGAUACAGUACAUAUACAGUACAUAUCUUUACAUAUACAGUACAUAUACAGUACAUACACAGUACUUAUACAGUACAUAUACAGUACAUAUACAGUACAUAUCUUUACAUAUACAGUACAUAUACAGUACAUAUCUUUACAUAUACAGUACAUAUACAGUACAUAUACAGUACAUAUACAGUACAUAUACAGUACAUAUCUUUACAUAUACAGUGCAUAUACAGUACAUAUCUUUACAUAUACAGUACAUAUACAGUACUUAUACAGUACAUAUCUUUACAUAUACAGUACAUAUACAGUACAUAUACAGUACAUAUACAGUACAUAUCUUUACAGAUACAGUACAUAUACAGUACAUAUCUUUACAUAUACAGUACAUAUACAGUACAUACACAGUACUUAUACAGUACAUAUACAGUACAUAUACAGUACAUAUCUUUACAUAUACAGUACAUAUACAGUACAUAUCUUUACAUAUACAGUACAUAUACAGUACAUAUACAGUACAUAUACAGUACAUAUACAGUACAUAUACAGUACAUAUCUUUACAUAUACAGUGCAUAUACAGUACAUAUCUUACAUAUACAGUACAUAUACAGUACAUAUACAGUACAUAUACAGUACUUAUACAGUACAUAUCUUUACAUA